This 903-nucleotide ribosomal RNA is filed under the name Escherichia coli. Its description in RNAcentral is "partial 23S ribosomal RNA". It matches the Rfam family "Bacterial large subunit ribosomal RNA", at positions 251 to 1194 of the family's 2925-position model. The record is from RNAcentral. Lineage: Bacteria; Pseudomonadati; Pseudomonadota; Gammaproteobacteria; Enterobacterales; Enterobacteriaceae.
GAGCGAACGGGGAGCAGCCCAGAGCCUGAAUCAGUGUGUGUGUUAGUGGAAGCGUCUGGAAAGGCGUGCGAUACAGGGUGACAGCCCCGUACACAAAAAUGCACAUAUUGUGAGCUCGAUGAGUAGGGCGGGACACGUGGUAUCCUGUCUGAAUAUGGGGGGACCAUCCUCCAAGGCUAAAUACUCCUGACUGACCGAUAGUGAACCAGUACCGUGAGGGAAAGGCGAAAAGAACCCCGGCGAGGGGAGUGAAAAAGAACCUGAAACCGUGUACGUACAAGCAGUGGGAGCACGCUUAGGCGUGUGACUGCGUACCUUUUGUAUAAUGGGUCAGCGACUUAUAUUCUGUAGCAAGGUUAACCGAAUAGGGGAGCCGAAGGGAAACCGAGUCUUAACUGGGCGUUAAGUUGCAGGGUAUAGACCCGAAACCCGGUGAUCUAGCCAUGGGCAGGUUGAAGGUUGGGUAACACUAACUGGAGGACCGAACCGACUAAUGUUGAAAAAUUAGCGGAUGACUUGUGGCUGGGGGUGAAAGGCCAAUCAAACCGGGAGAUAGCUGGUUCUCCCCGAAAGCUAUUUAGGUAGCGCCUCGUGAAUUCAUCUCCGGGGGUAGAGCACUGUUUCGGCAAGGGGGUCAUCCCGACUUACCAACCCGAUGCAAACUGCGAAUACCGGAGAAUGUUAUCACGGGAGACACACGGCGGGUGCUAACGUCCGUCGUGAAGAGGGAAACAACCCAGACCGCCAGCUAAGGUCCCAAAGUCAUGGUUAAGUGGGAAACGAUGUGGGAAGGCCCAGACAGCCAGGAUGUUGGCUUAGAAGCAGCCAUCAUUUAAAGAAAGCGUAAUAGCUCACUGGUCGAGUCGGCCUGCGCGGAAGAUGUAACGGGGCUAAACCAUGCAC